GGAGAAGAGAAAAGGCAAGGAGGCCCUCCUGGAGGUGGCUUCCUUGGGAGUGCCAGGCUGGCUUUGCGGACGACCUGCUCUUCCAGCCAAAGCUCGUCGGUAGGUUCUGGCCCUUGCCUCACUCCUGUCCCUUUGUUGGCUUCCUCGGCCCGGGUCUGCACGACCCCCUCCACCGCAGGGCUCACACCACAAAGUCACCCCAGUCUGCAACCUCUCUCCUUCCUCUGCUAGUUCUGGGCCUCUGAGCUCCUCUCUCUCCACCUCUCUUCCUCCCUCCGGGCUUCUUUUCCCCCCUCCGGGCUUCUUUUCCCGGCCUUCGUGGGUGGAAUGUUUUUCUUGGGAUCACACAUAAGCUUUCGCUCGCACACAAGUCCGCUGCACAGCGGCGGGCUACCGACACGCCUCCGCGCACCGCUCGGGGCAGGCAGGCUCCCGCGGCUGAGCCGACUCCGCCCAAGCUGGUCGCCCAGAGCGCCGCUCUCCCCGUGCGGCUCACAAAGGCAGCCUCCUCUGGCCUCGAGCCCGGGGGCUUUCGUAGCGCGGUUCCUUCCCCACCCCCACGAAAUCCCAGGGCUCAUUCCGCCGGGUAGGAGACCCGAGGUCCGUGGGGCAUGUAGGCCAGCACCCCACGACUCGAGCCAAAAUCUCUUAAACCACCCGUGAAGACUGGAUGAAAGGCGAGCCCGGUCCCUUGCAAGCCGCUUGUUGGGCUCAAAGCGCCUUUCAUGGCUGUACUAGAAAGGGAAGGAGCGAGGAAGAGACAAAACGCCGCCGAGGCCUGGAGCUGUUCAUGGCAUCCGCAGCUCAGCCAAGCUGCUGUUGUUUUAAAAGAGCAAUAAAAAUGAAUUAUGACUAAACGCCUUCUAACUUAAUGCUUUCGGACGGGGAUCCCCGGCAAAUACGUAAGAGGAUUUUUAUUUGUGCAUGUGUUCCUGCAAUUGAUCUCUUUGAUGACAUUCUCAUUCAUAGAAAGCGUUUGAUUUAUGAGUGGAGGAUGAAUCGCAAACAGCAGCGGCUUAGCCCUGGCCGCGGCCCGGCCGCCUGCUCCGCUCUGCUCCGCUCCGCGCCGAGGGCAGGAGACCUACCCGGGUCCUCACUCGCCUCCGCCGCUGCCAGGAUUUAGGGGGCAAAAGGUGGGGGAGGUAGGCAGUAAAUCCGUGGAGAAAGAUCGCGAUUUCCUCAUAACUUCCAAUCCUUUGCUAUUAAGAGCCGGGUUCUUAAAUCAACCCACCCCCCACACAUGUUGCUUACACUCUGCGUUUUCUCACGACCUGUUUGCCUGGACCCAUCAACAGCUGGGAGACUAAUCAACCACACUGAAAAUGUUUUGGCAUUUGUGGGGGAGGGAGUUGGGAUGUAGAUAUUUGAAACAAACAUGUAUAAAUAAAUGAAUUGUUGAUAACUUAGUUAUUGACCUGGAGACUGGUAGCUUGUUAAAGAAACUCCAUGUUCCUCCUUCCUGGAGUUGGAGGUUUCUGUAGGCACUUUAUUUCUCCACUUUCAAAAGCUUGGGCUUGGCCCAACUCAGGCUGCCCAAUCCUGUUUCUAUUGCCAAUUUAAAUCUAUGGCUUGAACCUCUACGUUGAAAACCUAAUCCAUUCCCUUAAAAAAAAAAAAACAAAACAAAAACAAAAAGCAAAACACACUUCUCAGAAGCCCUAACCCUUUUCUGGCUUUCCUUAUUGUUGCUGUUUCUGUCUGUUGAAGACUUUGAAUAUGCCCAUUCAAUAAAUAUAUUAAAAUU
Long non-coding RNA from Bos taurus (domestic cattle), 1744 nucleotides. The record is from Ensembl. Lineage: Eukaryota; Metazoa; Chordata; Mammalia; Artiodactyla; Bovidae.